UCCCUACGGGGUGCACCAGGCGCGCNAACUUUACAAUGCGAGCAAUCGUAUAAGGAAACCCUGAGUGCCUGUCGAUGCAGGCUGUUCAUAUAUUUAAAUCAUAUUAAAGAAAGNAGGCAA
This 120-nucleotide ribosomal RNA is filed under the name uncultured archaeon. Its description in RNAcentral is "partial 16S ribosomal RNA". The record is from RNAcentral.